RNAcentral lists this transfer RNA (73 nucleotides) under Camelus bactrianus (Bactrian camel). It matches the Rfam family "tRNA". Rfam says of the family: Transfer RNA (tRNA) molecules are approximately 80 nucleotides in length. Their secondary structure includes four short double-helical elements and three loops (D, anti-codon, and T loops). Further hydrogen bonds mediate the characteristic L-shaped molecular structure. tRNAs have two regions of fundamental functional importance: the anti-codon, which is responsible for specific mRNA codon recognition, and the 3' end, to which the tRNAs corresponding amino acid is attached (by aminoacyl-tRNA synthetases). tRNAs cope with the degeneracy of the genetic code in two manners: having more than one tRNA (with a specific anti-codon) for a particular amino acid; and 'wobble' base-pairing, i.e. permitting non-standard base-pairing at the 3rd anti-codon position. Lineage: Eukaryota; Metazoa; Chordata; Mammalia; Artiodactyla; Camelidae. RNAcentral also lists the same sequence under 2 other names. The record is from Rfam by way of RNAcentral.
GAGGGUAUAACUUAUGUGGUAGAGUGCAUGCUUAGCAUGCUUGAGGUCCUGGGUUCGAUACCCAGUACGUCCU